UGUUUUGUUGUAUUGUAGCAUAAUAACUUUUCGUGUUAUAGGUGGUAUUUUACCAAACAGUAUUAAGAUGG
This 71-nucleotide transfer RNA is filed under the name Dibothriocephalus nihonkaiensis. RNAcentral describes it as "tRNA-Glu". Lineage: Eukaryota; Metazoa; Platyhelminthes; Cestoda; Diphyllobothriidea; Diphyllobothriidae. The record is from RNAcentral.